UUUGCAGGUUGCGGUGCAAGUGGAGGGCGGUGCUGACAAAGGUGGCAGAGGUGGUGGCAGACCUAGAGGAGUUAGGUACAGCACGGGCUAGGGUUUCUUUUGUUUUUUUUUUGUUUUUUUGGGUAUUGGGUUAAUUUGGCUUGAAUUGGGAAAUUUUGGUUUUGGGUAUGUCUAGUUUUUGUUAGGUUUUUUAAUUGGUUGUAUUGGGUUUUAUUUUUUUUAUAGGCCCUUGGCAAGAUUGGCCUACAAUAGCUGUCCCUCUUUGCUCAUUAUCGUGUAACGAAAAUGGGGCAAAAAAUUUUGAAGGGUCAAUUUUGCCUGGUCUUGCCGAGUCUUGACUUCUUUGGGUGCUUA
This 354-nucleotide long non-coding RNA is filed under the name Gossypium raimondii (Peruvian cotton). RNAcentral's name for it is "long non-coding RNA (GRAI_LNC010792)". The record is from RNAcentral. Lineage: Eukaryota; Viridiplantae; Streptophyta; Magnoliopsida; Malvales; Malvaceae.